UGCGGAGCAAAAGAGCUUCUGGCUCUCUGAAUGGCAUGUCCAUAUUGUUGUUUUUUUGAUACAGGGUAUUAUCUUGAGUACUGGUACAGUUAAGUGGUUCGACGCGGCGAAAGGUUUUGGUUUCAUCGCUCCAGAAGAUGGCGGUAAGGACGUUUUCGUUCAUCACACCGCAAUCACCGGCGACGGUUACAAAACUCUCGACGAAGGUCAGAAAGUGAGCUUCGACAUCGAGCAGGGCCAAAAAGGUCCAGCGGCAGUCAACGUAUCUGCUAUGUAAACUCUGUCAACUGACAUUGUUUGACGAGAAAGCCUCGCUACAUGCGGGGCUUUCUUGU
This 335-nucleotide small RNA is filed under the name Granulosicoccus antarcticus IMCC3135. RNAcentral describes it as "cspA thermoregulator". It matches the Rfam family "cspA thermoregulator", at positions 92 to 428 of the family's 428-position model. The record is from RNAcentral. Lineage: Bacteria; Pseudomonadati; Pseudomonadota; Gammaproteobacteria; Chromatiales; Granulosicoccaceae.